This 4171-nucleotide long non-coding RNA is filed under the name Podarcis lilfordi (Lilford's wall lizard). The record is from RNAcentral. Lineage: Eukaryota; Metazoa; Chordata; Lepidosauria; Squamata; Lacertidae.
GAUUGGUGGUAGACCCACUGUAGAAUCCCAUCUUGAACAGCAACCUGGAUGUUGCAGAAGAUAUGCGCUCUGCAGUGAUUCAUUCUUUAUGUCAGUAAACCUCAGUGUUUGAGGACAGAUGCUUAGCUGAGAGAAGAUACACACUGAGAAUUUUGGGAUGACUACAAGUCAUUUCCAGUGGUCUGUACAUAAUGCUAAUCCCUAGUUAAAUUAGGAUUUAUUAAUAUAUAUUUUUGUUACAAAAUAAUCAUCUUUGUUUUCUAUGGUAAAAAUUAUAUUAAAUGGAGAUGACUUAGACAAUAGGUAUCUUCAACUUUUUAGCUCCAACUCUCAGGCCACUUUGAACUUGUAUCCAAUGCUCCCCCCACAUAUAUCAUUUAAGAACUCCUACCUUAAUUAUCUACUUUUUGUCUUCAUUUUAUUCCUCACCACCAAAUAUGCUAGUUUUGAUGGAGACUUACUUUGUUAUCUGCUUUUUACUUCAUGAUUAUAGAACAGUUCGGAUAAAAUGUCAGUGCUAAGGAUUAAAUAAACAGAGGGAAUUUUUUUUUUAAAAAAAGGAAAUAACCAGUCUUCAUCUCAUUUGAGCAUGAAGAAUUACAUUAUUAAGUCCUAAUGUUUCCAAAGCAAAUAGUUAUGGUACUGACAGUAGUAUAUUUGGUGCAAAGAACGCUAGAAUUUUCUGCAUACCAUUUUUCUGACCCAAACUGCUGGUGUGUCUGUCAUGGCUAUUUGCUUGUAAUAUGUGCUACUCCGUCAAUGGUGUUUCCAUCUUAUCUUUUGUCUGUUACAAAAACUCAGUUCAGUAACUGAGGCAUGGCUUGGUUGCCAAGGUUAUUUCAAAGUCUCAAGCUUACCAGUCACAUGACCAUUUACCUGGAAAAUGACUUAAAAGCACAAUUAGACCACUAUAUAAGCUUUUAAGUAUGGGCUCAGUUAGCCAACAGAAAUUUUUUUAGUCACAGAUAUUUUGUUAGAUUAAUGAAAACCGGAGUAGGCUGAAAUGCAGAACUCCACAUUUGUUUUACUAUGUUGUUGUAGUUUAAUGUGGUUUUUGAAUAAAAUAAAGUUGUCCUAUUAUUUAAAUACUGAUAACAAGAUACAGUCAUACCUCGUGUUACAUCCACUUCAGAUUGCGUGUUCUUGUCUUGUGUCCCACGGCAACCUGGAUGUACCGGAAUAGGUUACUUCCAGGUUUCGCCGCAUGCACAGAAGCGCUAAAUCGUGCUUUGCUCAUGCGCAGAAGCACCAAAUAGCGCCGCAUGCCUGUGCAGAUGCGGCGCUUUGAGUUGCAGGCUUUUUAUGUUAUGGACGGGCCUCCGGAACGGAUCCCGUCCGUAACACAAGGUACCACUGUAUUUAUCUUUUCAUAAUUGAUCUCCAUUCCACACUACACCCACCCAGUUUCAGAUUUAUGCUAACCUGGGGGAAGAAAGUACCUUGGGGAAUCUCUUUUUCAUUCUGAUUGUGGUAAUAAGUGUACAGAAUCUCCACAGUAGAAUUUUUAUGAUAUACAGUACCAGGAAGGUUUUCUUUUUCUGUGUGAUGUCCAGUCAUUCUCUCAUUGGAAGUGUUUUUGUAGCAGACCAGUGUGGGGAUUUCCAAAACUUCCUUUCAAGCCCAUCUUCAGAUACUUCAACCAGUGUAACCAGCAUAAAUAAUUGCUGCUACAUCCUGAUGUUCACUUACUCCUUGCCCAUCCUGCAUUGCUAUAGACCAGAGAUGAGGAACCUGUGGCCCUCCAGAUGCUGUCUGGGUCUGACUGGAGUUGAAGUCCAGCGACCUCUGGACGACCACAUGUUCUCCACCACUGAUUUAGGCUCAAUUUCUCCCAAUUGUGACUGCUUCCUCUUUCUGCCCAGUCAGGCUUAUGGUGCUACAGAAAGACUAACCUGUCACCCGCUGUUCCCUCCCCUUCUUGCUUGUCCCCCAGCUUUCCCAUUGAAUACAUAGUCUGGUUGACUGUUUUUUGGUGUGUGCUACUGAUAUCUCCUAUACUAUCCAGGGCAGGACUUCAGGGAGUGAAUGUUUUGCUUUAUGAUUCUGCAAAGAACAUAAUUUUUCCAGUUGGAAAAAUACAUUUUGUUAGUAAUUGAUCUAGGAUAUUAAGCAGUAUCGGUCUAUAGCAAGAAAUCUGACUACUUCAGCCAAUCGUGAUUUCCUGCCUCCUCGCUGUGUCUUAUAUCUCAGUUCCAAGGCUGCCUGUCGUCAUUGAUCAUUUUCGUUUGGUGAUGACCUUAACUAUUCUGUAGAGAAAGGUUCUAAACUCCAGAAAUGAGCCUUGAUCAAGCUUUUCUGGGUGGAUUUAUGGGAGGUUUUCACCAUGACACAUGGAAAAUGACAUUAUGAGCCUGUAAUCAAAAUCUUUUCUAUGUAGGAAGGUCAAAUCAGUCACAAUGAAACAUAGUUUUCAGGGGGGGAAAUGCAGUUAUGAAAAGCAAGUUUAACUUGAGUAUGUUAUUGGGAUGAAUUAGUGUUGCCCCCUCCCCCAAGGGAUUUCAGUUCCCAACAUCAACAUUGGCAUCAUCUAUAUACGCAUCUCUUAAUUCAAGCCAUGCAUUACUAUGACUUUCCCACUUUGAAUUAUUUAGCUGAAAUUAAAUUUAAAUUCCUCAAACACAACUUGUAUUUUUUUCUUCAGCAGUCAAUUAAUAGUUUGAAUACAAAAUAGUACAUCUCCUAAAAACACGUCUAAUUGUUUUUAGAGACCAAGUAUAGGUCUCUAUAAUUACACGAGUAAUUAUACAAUAUGUCAACAAAUACUUUAAAAAAAGUUAUUUUAUAGAGUUUUGUACAAUCUAAAUGGCACAGUAAGGAGUAACAAUAACAACAAAACAAUUACAAGUCUAUUGUGAUUUGUUCCAUAAACUAAUACAUACAUAGAGAAGGCAAAAACAAAGAGUAUAAAUGAAGUUGGAAUCACAUUAGUUUAUCAAAUUUCUCCAGAAAUAUGUACCGUAUUUUUUGCACCAUAACACUCACUUUUUUCCUCCUAGAAAGUAAGGGGAAAUGUCUGUGCGUGUUAUGGAGGGAAUGCCUACGGGUGGCAUGCCUACGGAUUUUCCUCCUCUAAAAACUACGUGCGUGUUAUGGUCGGGUGAGAUCUGCAGAUGAAUUGAUAAAUUUGUAAAUGCAUCAAAUUGAGCCUGUGUCUUGGCUGAUGUGACAACUCCUAUUCUGAAUUACGUUAUGUUGUUGCUGUUGCUUUGUGGUAGCCUUCAGAAGAGCCUGCAGAAGUCUGGUGUAGCAGCAUGCAAACAAUUUUUCUCAGGAAGAGAGUCUGAGGAACUGAGGAAAAUAGUGGUCUCAAGAGAUGAAUUUCUAGGCCUUAUUGACAAAUUAAGAACAAACUAAUCAUUGGAUCCAGAUGGUAUUCAUCCGAGAGUUGCUAAAGAACUCAAAUGUGGAAUUGCUGAUUUUCUAAUAUAUAAAACUGGUCCUGCAGAUCAGCAGUCAUGUGUGUGCACACUUCCCUAUGCAGACACACAUAUGACUAACCAUUGGGAUGGGCAGAGAGCAGAUCGAAGAUAAAAAAUUCAGAAGUCUUUCUUCCCACCACAGUACUGCCACCGCCACCCUUCUGUCGCUCUGGCAGGGAAGUGGUGCAGAGAAGCAAGUGAAAAAGUUAAAAGGUUCUCCUCUCAGCCCAACACUGCCCCCUUGAGUCGCUGGCUUGGAGAAGAGCCAGUAAAUUGGCUCAGGGGGCUGGUGGGCCAUUGAAAGCAGUUUGAUGAGCCCAUUCUAGUUUGGGGGCCAUGGCCUUGCCACCCCUGGUUCAAAGCUUUUUCCUCUGCUUUCAGAACAGCUUACAAAAAUGUUGCCUGUAUCAUCCAUAGAUUUUCCUUCCCACUGAGCUAGGACCCGAAGACCUGCCAGUUAGUUCAGUGAUGCCUCCUCCCAGAUAUGUUUGCAUUGGAUCAAAUGAGAAAACUAUGAACCUCAAGCCAAGGUGAACCUCAGACAUUGCAUCACAUUACAGUGGCAGCACCCAAGCAGUACGAGUGUCAAAAUUUAGCAAGACUUAGUGAGAAUUCUGUGCUCACCGCUGAAUCUUUCCAUUAAUACCAAGGUUGAAAUCAAACAACACAGUUCAUCUAAAGUCCUGAAAGAACAACUGGGUUGUUUUUUAAAAAAUAAUAUUCAUUACUUUUCCAAAAAAUUUAAACACUAC